UUGCUUUUACGAAAGUCAUGGAGUAAAGCUUGCCGUGAGAAGUCAGCAGACGCCAUAGUAGUGGAAUAUUCGAUAACGUUCCACGAAGGGC
Non-coding RNA from Prevotella sp. CAG:520, 91 nucleotides. The record is from Rfam. NCBI's taxonomy places the organism in Bacteria, Pseudomonadati, Bacteroidota, Bacteroidia, Bacteroidales, Prevotellaceae.